Long non-coding RNA from Carassius gibelio (silver crucian carp), 425 nucleotides. RefSeq lists it as uncharacterized. NCBI's taxonomy places the organism in Eukaryota, Metazoa, Chordata, Actinopteri, Cypriniformes, Cyprinidae. The transcript is spliced from 3 exons. The record is from RefSeq and is a predicted model, not a curated record.
CUUGAGAAUAAUACAAAUACACUUCUCAAUAUAUGAAUGCAAUCACACAGAUAAUAAGACAAAACAAGCAAGACACUAUAGUUAAUUUGAGGAUAGCAAAAAUAAAGUAAAAUAAAGAGCUCUUUAAGAUAACAAUUGCAUGUCAAUACUUCUGACAGUAAAGAGUGCAUGUGUUAGAUAAAAUGAGUUUGGUCCCCAGUUAGAUGGUGACGUGUGACGCCUGUUAGACUGAAUCACCUCUUCUUACAUCACAGACACAUUAACAUUAUAUGUUAAGUUAAAAAACAACAUUAUAUGUUAAUUUAAGAAACAAUAUUAUAUGUUAACUUGCUGCAUUGAAAAAUUUCAGUUGAGUUCAGUAAAACACCUUUUAACUAUGCCACUUUAGCUGUUUAACACUGACAUUUUUCAGAGGCUCCAUUUUU